RNAcentral lists this ribosomal RNA (584 nucleotides) under uncultured bacterium. RNAcentral describes it as "partial 16S ribosomal RNA". It matches the Rfam family "Bacterial small subunit ribosomal RNA", at positions 355 to 1375 of the family's 1533-position model. The record is from RNAcentral.
UGGGGAAUUUUGGACAAUGGGCGAAAGCCUGAUCCAGCAAUGCCGCGUGUGUGAAGAAGGCCUUCGGGUUGUAAAGCACUUUUGUCCGGAAAGAAAUCCUUGGCUCUAAUACAGUCGGGGGAUGACGGUACCGGAAGAAUAAGCACCGGCUAACUACGUGCCAGCAGCCGCGGUAAUACGUAGGGUGCAAGCGUUAAUCGGAAUUACUGGGCGUAAAGCGUGCGCAGGCGGUUUGCUAAGACCGAUGUGAAACCCCGGGCUCAACCUGGGAACUGCAUUGGUGACUGGCAGGCUAGAGUAUGGCAGAGGGGGGUAGAAUUCCACGUGUAGCAGUGAAAUGCGUAGAGAUGUGGAGGAAUACCGAUGGCGAAGGCAGCCCCCUGGGCCAAUACUGACGCUCAUGCACGAAAGCGUGGGGAGCAAACAGGAUUAGAUACCCUGGUAGUCCACGCCCUAAACGAUGUCAACUAGUUGUUGGGGAUUCAUUUCCUUAGUAACGUAGCUAACGCGUGAAGUUGACCGCCUGGGGAGUACGAUCGCAAGAUUAAAACUUAAAUGAAUUGACGGGGUCAUAGCUGUUUCCU